AUGGAUAUGAAAGCUCCUGCUCAGCUUCUGGGGCUCCUGCUGAUCUGGCUUCCAGAUGCCAGGUGUGACAUCCAGAUGACCCAGUCUCCAUCCUCCCUCUCGGCUUCUCUAGGAGACAGAGUCACCAUCACUUGCUGGGCAAGUCAGGGUAUUAGCAAUGAGUUAUCCUGGUAUCAGCAGAAACCAGGAAAAGGCCCUAAGCUCUUGAUCUAUGAUGCAACCAGAUUGCAUUCAGGGGUCCCAUCAUGGUUCAGUGGCAGUGGACGUGGGACGGAUUUCAGUCUCACCGUUAGCAGUCUGCAGCCUGAAGAUGUUGCAACUUAUUACUGUCGACAGGAUGACAGUAUUCCUCCUAUAGUGUUACGAGGCAUGACAAAAACCACCCAGAUAUGUGAGGCUGAACUGCACCAGAUGCCUUUCUGGUGCCUCCAUCUGCUGUGUCAGGUUUUGAAUGUCAUUGGUAGAUUUUGUUAG
Carlito syrichta (Philippine tarsier) is the source of this 474-nucleotide non-coding RNA. NCBI's taxonomy places the organism in Eukaryota, Metazoa, Chordata, Mammalia, Primates, Tarsiidae. The record is from the annotation of a RefSeq genome assembly.